This 379-nucleotide long non-coding RNA is filed under the name Elaeis guineensis (African oil palm). RNAcentral's name for it is "long non-coding RNA (EGUI_LNC008315)". The record is from RNAcentral. Lineage: Eukaryota; Viridiplantae; Streptophyta; Magnoliopsida; Arecales; Arecaceae.
GCCCAUUAGAAAUUAGCCCACAUCCCACCCAAAACCAAAAAAAGGAACAAAGACUCCCAUCGAGAGUCUUCUUUUCCAUCGAAUCUGACAUGAAAACAAUCUCUUAGGGCUAUCAAAAAUCAUGAACAAUCUCCUAUAAAUCUCCCCCUCCCCCCUCCAAAGCACUUCACGAUGAACACCGACCCUUCUCCUCUCUUCUUCCUCUCUCUUUCUCCUGAUUGUCAUCGGAUCCCUUUCAUUGUGCCUGCUAAAAAUUAGGGUUGGAGGAACUACCGAAGCCGAGGUAAAAGCCCCUCCGUUCCUUCUCUCUCUAUUCCCUUCUUCCCAUGCCUUUGUGUAGGGCCGCCGGCCAUUGGAUUCAUUGGAAAUCCACUACGAA